CUGGGCGUGGAGCCCCGCGGGGUGAGUGCGGCACGGCCCCUCGACCCACGGGUGGACGCCAGCUCACGCACCGGCCCCCAGCGCUUUUCUCUCGCAGUCAAGAGCUUAUCUGCACCCCAUUGAAGCCCAGCGUACCCCGGGGGACGCUGCCAGCUCAAGGAAACCGGCCGCCGCCUUCAUUCCAGUCAGAAAAUGGCCUGCAGGGCCUGUGCGUCCUGCCAACCGCGUCCGGACUUUGGACUCUGGACAGGAAGGGGUCGCGGGUCAGCCGUGGUUUGGGCAAAGCUUAACCUCUCCCAAGCAAGAGAACAUCGAUCGGGUCUCCUCCGCCCAGAGGAGGCUUGCAGGGAUUUACUCGCUUCUACCUGUUACCUGGACACUUGCUAGGCAGAGCUGCCUUAAAUUCCACGAGUUCCUAGUUAGCCAAACGCUAAAGCAAACCCCUGUGGACCUUGGCUGAGCGACUGGUGUUCUCCCCUGAGAAGGGGAGCUAAAACUAGCACCUUGCUGUCUAAAUUUAGGACCCUAUUUUUAGGUCUGCUGAAUAAAGUAUGGAGUGCUGGAUUUGUUCCUGGGAGACUUUUAGCUGACAUAGGUGUAAAGGAUAACCCGGAAGGCUUCCUUGCCAGUAGUAAUAAUCCGCAACAAACUCGGCCUGCUACAAGUCCUCAGUGAAGCAACACAAAAAGGAGCAAAUACUUCUUCCUAAACAAAUCACCCAAGAGAACUCAAUAGUUGAACAAAAUCUUAAAUCCUUAGGAAAUUUCCCUAAUGUAAGCUGGCAGCAACAGAACAACUGUGCCAAAAAGAAUCAAAAAAUGGCCCAAGUUCACAACAGUUGAUUUUUAGGACCAAAAUGGGGCCUAGUUGUUUAAAACUCUAAAGUGCUCUCUUUUGCCACAUCAGCCUGCAGUUUCCAGGAACUAUCAGUAUCAAAACGUAGCAGAAAUUGCUUAAUAUUUCUUCAAUUUUAAGGUAAUAUCAACUCUCUAGAACCUUAGCAAAGAAAUAAAGUGAAGAGGAAGUCUCUGAAAGCAAAAUGAUAUAUAUUAUGAAGCCCAGUUUUCACAGACUCUUAUCACAGUCACCACCAUCUACCUGGUCACCCAAGCUAGAAACCUGAUCCAUUGCUGUUUGGAGAAUGAAUUGGAAGAGGACAACAGUAGAGGCAAGGAGACAAAUACUGCAGUAUUCUUAUCAAGAGAUUAUGAGGCCUUGGAUCAGGGCUAUGGGGAGAGUGAAAAUGAC
Molecule: long non-coding RNA, 1248 nt
Organism: Callorhinus ursinus (northern fur seal)
Lineage: Eukaryota; Metazoa; Chordata; Mammalia; Carnivora; Otariidae
Source: RefSeq, a predicted model, not a curated record